This 40-nucleotide small RNA is filed under the name Plasmodium falciparum 3D7. RNAcentral describes it as "Pfa-starR395". Lineage: Eukaryota; Apicomplexa; Aconoidasida; Haemosporida; Plasmodiidae. The record is from RNAcentral.
UCUAUCAUAUAGUCCGUGAUCAACUAUACAUACUACGUGG